CCUACGGGUGGCAGCAGUGGGGAAUAUUGGGCAAUGGGCGCAAGCCUGACCCAGCAACGCCGCGUGAAGGAAGAAGGCUUUCGGGUUGUAAACUUCUUUUAAGAGGGAAGAGCAGAAGACGGUACCUCUUGAAUAAGCCACGGCUAACUACGUGCCAGCAGCCGCGGUCAUACGUAGGUGGCAAGCGUUGUCCGGAUUUACUGGGGUUAAAGGGCGUGUAGCCGGGCUGACAAGUCAGAUGUUAAAUUCCGGGGCUCAACCCCGGACCCGCAUUUGAACCUGUUGGUCUUGAGUAUCGGAGAGGCAUGCGGAAUUCCUAGUGUAGCGGUGAAAUGCGUAGAUAUUAGGAGGAACACCAGUGGCGAAGGCGGCCUGCUGGACGACAACUGACGGUGAGGCACGAAAGCGUGGGUAGCAAACAGGAUUAGAUACCCCUGUAGUC
Molecule: ribosomal RNA, 442 nt
Filed under: uncultured bacterium
Lineage: Bacteria
Description: partial 16S ribosomal RNA
Rfam family: Bacterial small subunit ribosomal RNA
Source: RNAcentral